AUGAACGCUGGCGGCGUGCCUCAUACAUGCCAGUCGAGCGCACGGACGAGAAGCUUGCUUCUCUGAUGUUAGCGGCGGACGGGUGAGUAACACGUGGAUAACCUACCUAUAAGACUGGGAUAACUUCGGGAAACCGGAGCUAAUACCGGAUGAUAUUUUGAACCGCAUGGUUCAAAAGUGAAAGACGGUCUUGCUGUCACUUAUAGAUGGAUCCGCGCUGCAUUAGCUAGUUGGUAAGGUAACGGCUUACCAAGGCAACGAUGCAUAGCCGACCUGAGAGGGUGAUCGGCCACACUGGAACUGAGACACGGUCCAGACUCCUACGGGAGGCAGCAGUAGGGAAUCUUCCGCAAUGGGCGAAAGCCUGACGGAGCAACGCCGCGUGAGUGAUGAAGGUCUUCGGAUCGUAAAACUCUGUUAUUAGGGAAGAACAUAUGUGUAAGUAACUGUGCACAUCUUGACGGUACCUAAGCAGAAAGCCACGGCUAACUACGU
Molecule: ribosomal RNA, 495 nt
Filed under: uncultured bacterium
Lineage: Bacteria
Description: partial 16S ribosomal RNA
Rfam family: Bacterial small subunit ribosomal RNA
Source: RNAcentral